RNAcentral lists this ribosomal RNA (407 nucleotides) under uncultured bacterium. RNAcentral describes it as "partial 16S ribosomal RNA". It matches the Rfam family "Bacterial small subunit ribosomal RNA", at positions 29 to 526 of the family's 1533-position model. The record is from RNAcentral.
AUUGAACGCUGGCGGCAGGCCUAACACAUGCAAGUCGAGCGGAGCGGCGGACGGGUGAGUAAUGCCUAGGAAUCUGCCUGGUAGUGGGGGAUAACGUCCGGAAACGGGCGCUAAUACCGCAUACUAUCAGAUGAGCCUAGGGCGGAUUAGCUAGUUGGCGGGGUAAAGGCCUACCAAGGCGACGAUCCGUAACUGGUCUGAGAGGAUGAUCAGUCACACUGGAACGGGGCCACGGUCCAGAUUCCUACGGGAGGCAGCAGUAGGGAAUAUGGGACGAUGGGCGGAAGCCUGAUGCAGCGCCGCCGCGUGGGGGAUGUAGGCUUUCGGGUUGUAAACCUCUUGCGCUAUCGAACGGGUAGGUGGAGAAGAAGCGCCGGCUAACUACGUGCCAGCAGCCGCGGUAAUUC